Schizosaccharomyces cryophilus OY26 is the source of this 118-nucleotide ribosomal RNA. Lineage: Eukaryota; Fungi; Ascomycota; Schizosaccharomycetes; Schizosaccharomycetales; Schizosaccharomycetaceae. The record is from Rfam.
GUCUACGGCCACAGCUAGGCGAAAACACUAGUUCCCGUCCGAUCACUGCAGUUAAGCGUCUGAGGCCUCGUUAGUACUAUGGUUGGAGACAACAUGGGAAUCCGGGGUGCUGUAGGCU